AUUCAAUGAGGAAAUAUUACAAUGAAAGCAAAGAAGAUAAGUUGGUAGCGCAUGGAAAACGGGUUUUGCAGCUGGUAUUUAUGGUGAAGCAAGCAGCCCACAUAUCUUAGUUUGGCUAUUUGACCAUGGCAGCUGAUCGUCUUAUUGACCCUUACUUACCUAACAAGAGAGAGAGAGGGGGGGAGUGGUGUUGAAAGUUGAAACGAUAGCUAAGUACUUUGAAUGAGAAAAUGUAAAACUGGUUUGUCUUGAGCUACAAGUUGGUUAGAUGGAGUUUGGUGCUUUUCCACUAAUUAAAUAGCCCCAGGGGCCGAUGACGCUUACACAGCACGCCGACGUAGACCGACGUGAAAGAAAUCCAUUGAACCACAUUCGCUGUGACAUGGAAACCAUUUUGGCAAAGGGACCCUACCCCAGUUGCUGUCAGUUUCUUUACAGGAAAUUAAAUGGGUUGCGUUCAAGUUUUUAAGACAAUCAUAUCCAUGCUGUUGCUUCUCAUCUAUAUAUAUAUAUACAUAUAUAUAUAUAUAUAUAGAUGAGAAUUAGAAUUCAAAUCACGCAAUAAUACAUUGCCUAAAUUAUGUUCUAAGCUUUUGGUUUCUUACAGUUUUCAUAACA
Long non-coding RNA from Durio zibethinus, 618 nucleotides. RefSeq lists it as uncharacterized. NCBI's taxonomy places the organism in Eukaryota, Viridiplantae, Streptophyta, Magnoliopsida, Malvales, Malvaceae. The record is from RefSeq and is a predicted model, not a curated record.